CACUACAGGCACCCAAAGGCCAGCCCGCAUUCAAGAGAGGGCUUGAGGAUCACCGUUUUGACUGUUGGCAGAGGAAGGAACAUCUUUCAGAGGCCAAGGUGCUGUGUGCAAUCGUGGAGGGGUGAAGCUGCUUCCUGAUGAGCAGUCCUCGGAGGUGCAGUGGAGGGCUCUCCUCAAAAGUGGCUGAGGAUUUCAGAUUAGGCUGGGUAGGAAAGAGAGGAGCGGCAUGGCUGGUGAUCACUUUCAAACACAAUGGUCACUUUGGUUUUCCAGGUGCCACAGGUAAUAUGCCAACCACACCAAUCUCACUGUAGAAUCAGAGUGGAGAAGGUGAGUGGAGUGACUUGGUGGUUCUGAGGAGGGUGUUCUUGAGGAAGAGGUCUGUGGUGGCUGGCAUGACAGCGACUGAUGGUGCUCUAUUAUUGUAGAUGUUGAAGAGGAACGUGGUGAUUGCAGGAACAUCCUGGUUAGAUGACAUGGUCCUUAUCAAGAAUGGGUUCUGAUCCCCUGGGCACUCUGAAAGCUAAGUUGAGGGGCAAAUGCUAUGUCAGGGUGGGGGAAGGAUAGGAAUUGGAUGAUGCAGCAGGCAGGGUCUUUAAAGUCAGUGCUGUGGAGAGGGCUGCUCAGGAUCAGUUGUGUUUGGGUGCAGACAGAGGGUGCAUGGUCUGUUCCGCAUGAUGCAAGCCUUUUCUGGGCAAGGCAGUUCCAGCCUGUGUCUGUGUUGCCAGUGUAGUUUGCAUAGUCUGUGUUCUGUCCUAUGCCAUACUUUCUGCAGGUCUUGAUGACCCCAUUGCUCUUUGCGCUCGGUGAGCAGAGCAAUGAGCAGUGCGACUGAGGAGGCGAGGAGAGUGCCGUAAGAAUGUGGGGUAUCGGAGAGCGGAGCACCACUGCUGGUGGCUGUGACCAUUUUAUGCUGGUUUUGUUUCUGUUUUGAAGGUAUGAAGCGACAUGGGAAAUGGGAUGACUGCGUGGGAGCUGACUCAUGCAAGAUGGUGCGCAGGCCUCAAUGGGGCAGCCUGAAGAAUCAGACUCGGGGCCAUCGAGCAGCUGUGGUUAAGGAGCAGGAGAGAAGAACCGCUGCAGGCAACCUGUGCUUUUGGGCAGUAUGCAAGCAUGUGCUUUUCCUAUCUUUUUUUUUGCAGGUGCUGCAUGCAGUACCAGAGGGCUGAAGCCAGAUGCUGAUGAGCAGUCUGACAAGGCACCAUGCAUGUUCUCUUCAGAAAUGGCUGAGGAUUUGAGGUGCCAUGGGAGCUGCUGGACUCAACAUCUGAUUUUGGGAGGCAGGGAGUGACUGGCAGCACUUUGUUUUGCAGACUACAGAGAAACCUGGCGCUUGCAGGAGCUUCCUGAUUAGAUGGUGUGGUCCUUGUCGAGGAUGGAU
Molecule: long non-coding RNA, 1381 nt
Organism: Harpia harpyja (harpy eagle)
Lineage: Eukaryota; Metazoa; Chordata; Aves; Accipitriformes; Accipitridae
Exons: 7
Source: RefSeq, a predicted model, not a curated record